Molecule: long non-coding RNA, 2180 nt
Organism: Papaver somniferum (opium poppy)
Lineage: Eukaryota; Viridiplantae; Streptophyta; Magnoliopsida; Ranunculales; Papaveraceae
Exons: 3
Source: RefSeq, a predicted model, not a curated record
UAUACUCGAGCUUCUUCUAUAUUUCGCACUCGAGAAAAUAUAAUGGAAUUCUCCACCAUCUUCAUCACUGCUUGCCGCCACCAUCUCCAUCUUCGUCGCCACCACAACCAACGCCACCAACACUAGAAUCGUCUCCAUAGCCAUCAUCACUAUAGAUAGUAGUUAUCACUCUAUAAUUUCACAUCUAAAAAAAACUCUUCUCUUUCUCUCCGGAAAUCACCACCACCACCAUCUCCUCCGCCAACUGAUUCAGAUUUAAUGGGAAAUUAUUAUCAGCAACAGAUGGUUCAUAUUCUGAAAGACCUUCUUCUUCUAAAAAUUAAUUUCAAAAUCUGUUUCAAAAAGAUUGAGAUCCGAUUUUAGUCUUUGAUUUCUGAUAAUUUCAUCUCGAUUUCAACUGGAUUGGGAUUGAAGAACCUAAAAUCGAUGAUUACAGUUGGUUAAUACAUAUUUUUCCGCAUCGAUUUGGCAUUUAUUUAUUAUCUUCUUUCUUUUGCUUUGAAGUUUCUGCUGGUGUUGGUGGUAUUGUAACUGGUGGUGAUGUAGAUCGAAAGAGGUUAGAUUAAGAACGGCGGAAUUGAUGGAGAUUGCGGUGUGGUUCUGGUUGGAAUGGUGAAAUUUGGCGAUUGAGACAGUGGUGGUGGUUGAAGAUGGUGGUGGUGGUGAUAUCUUCCGGAUGGGAAAUAAGAAGAGUAUCCAAAUGAUGGUGGUGUAGCUUAUUGCCAAGGAAGAAGGGGUAUGGAAUGAACGUUAGGGGUUGUGGCAGAGUUUGGAUGGAUCUGUAAAUGAAUGUUUGGAAUGGCAGUAAAUAGUUGCAGGAUAGAACAAGGUGAAAGAGAGCUAAUAUAUGAGCAGAAUGAGCAGGUGUUGCAGUGGGUAUGUGCGUGGUGCUGCAGUUGAAUAGAAGUUUGUUCUUGGUGGUUAAAAUUACUGCAGUUACUGUUGGUGUCUCUUGGAUGUCUACAGACUGAUCGGUGGGAAGCUGAAUUAAGGGACAGGAUGAAGAUGGCCAGGGUAUAGAAGUGUGGUUAGGUGCUGGCCAGAAUUUAAAAUGUUGUUGGUUGUGGUGCUGUGGUCAGUUUAAAAGUGUUGGUGGACUGUGAUUCAGCAACAUGUGAAUGGUCGAAGGGGUCGAAUUCUUAUUUUAAUGAGAAAUGAUUUCAGUAAAUGCUCUAUUGAGUUCGUGGUUCUCGACUCAAUGGGAAGGUUAGACACGAAGGGAUUUAACAGCACAAUGGAAUGGGAAUUUGCUCCACUUUUAUGCACCAUGUUGUAUAUGUUUUGGUAAUGAAUGAAUGAUGGAAUGGUCUGCUGCAAUUUAUGGACUUUGGGGGCUGUCUACUCAUUUUUCCAAUGAUCUUUUUAGUUUUCAGCGAUGUUUGGGUUAUUUGCAUACAAGGAUGCUGCUCUGGUUCAAGUUUACAGAGACAAUGAAGACUUGAAGUUGAUCUUUCCAGGUGGCGAUGAAUAUUCAAAUGAGUGAACAGUAGUCCCCCUCGUGUUCACUGCUGCACCAUUAAGUCUUAAGCAGUGCAUGCAGUGACUCAAUUUUGGCGGAUGGCCCAUACAGCGGUUGCAGAUGUUAUUCAGAUUGUUAUGAACAGUUGUUGUUGUUUUUCCAUUUGUGUGCCACCCAUAGUGGUUAUGUAUAAUCAGUCGAAUAAAUUGUUAUGUACUUAAUAGUGCAGUUGAGGGUUACUUAAUGAACUUGCUUGUUCUAAAUGUUUUUUGUGCUAGAUUGAGGAUUAGCAACUCUCGGUGGUAUACGGUGAUGAAGCAAUGAGUUAGGCUUUGUGUGUUGUUUUGUGUGAGUGUUGUUGGAGUUGGAAGGAAUCGGCUUCAGAACCGCGAAGAGAACUGAACAUACAUAAAUAGGCAAUGACAUGACUUUGGUAAUGGAACUGGAAUUUCUUGUUCUAUGGUAUUAAGUUAUUCAGGUGGUUGAAACCAGUGGUGCCGAGAUUGGUUUAUAUCAACAAAUGGGUAACUGUAGAAGAUGCUGAGAUAGAGAAGCGAUAGCAAUCACGACUUUAUUUUUUUGCAUACAUCUUAAAGUAAUCACGAUGAAUCUGUGGUGCAAUGGUAGCACAACUGACUAGAUAUCAGAAGAUGGGUGUUCGAUUCACACUUGGUUCACUCAUUUGUGUAUAAUUUUUAUUUUUUGGAGACAACUCGUGCUA